GUUUGUGACGUGGACUUGAACCGUCCGACAGACUUUGUACAGUUUUAAAUAUGUUCGUCAACAUCAUCAAUUUAUGGUAUCGUGGUACAAAAAAAUGAAAUGUAACUAAUUUCAAUUAAAGCAAUUGCAAGUAAAUAAAUCUGAUGUCAGUAUAUUUAAGCCGCACAGGUAAUAUAUCUAAGUAAUUUCAGUAUGUUUGAG
This 201-nucleotide long non-coding RNA is filed under the name Mytilus galloprovincialis (Mediterranean mussel). The record is from RNAcentral. Lineage: Eukaryota; Metazoa; Mollusca; Bivalvia; Mytilida; Mytilidae.